AGAGUUUGAUCCUGGCUCAGGACGAACGCUGGCGGCAGGCUUAACACAUGCAAGUCGAACGCUCUCUUCGGAGGGAGUGGCGCACGGGUGAGUAACACGUGGGAACCUACCCUGAGGUACGGAAUAACCAUUGGAAACGAUGGCUAAUACCGUAUGUCCCCUGCGGGGGAAAGAUUUAUCGCCUUGGGAUGGGCCCGCGGUCGAUUAGCUAGUUGGUGUGGUAAUGGCGCACCAAGGCGACGAUCGAUAGCUGGUCUGAGAGGAUGAUCAGCCACACUGGGACUGAGACACGGCCCAGACUCCUACGGGAGGCAGCAGUGGGGAAUAUUGGACAAUGGGCGCAAGCCUGAUCCAGCCAUGCCGCGUGAGUGAUGAAGGCCUUCGGGUUGUAAAGCUCUUUCAGGUGGGACGAUGAUGACGGUACCACCAGAAGAAGCCCCGGCUAACUUCGUGCCAGCAGCCGCGGUAAUACGAAGGGGGCUAGCGUUGUUCGGAAUCACUGGGCGUAAAGCGCGCGUAGGCGGUCCUGCCAGUCAGGGGUGAAAGCCCAGGGCUCAACCCUGGAACGGCCUUUGAUACUGCGGGACUUGAGUUCGGGAGAGGGGCAUGGAAUUCCCAGUGUAGAGGUGAAAUUCGUAGAUAUUGGGAAGAACACCAGUGGCGAAGGCGGUGCCCUGGCCCGAGACUGACGCUG
This 694-nucleotide ribosomal RNA is filed under the name uncultured bacterium. RNAcentral's name for it is "bacterial SSU rRNA". It matches the Rfam family "Bacterial small subunit ribosomal RNA", at positions 8 to 748 of the family's 1533-position model. The record is from RNAcentral.